Molecule: ribosomal RNA, 427 nt
Filed under: uncultured bacterium
Lineage: Bacteria
Description: partial 16S ribosomal RNA
Rfam family: Bacterial small subunit ribosomal RNA
Source: RNAcentral
UGGGGAAUAUUGGACAAUGGGCGCAAGCCUGAUGCAGCCAUGCCGCGUGUAUGAAGAAGGCCUUCGGGUUGUAAAGUACUUUCAGCGGGGAGGAAGGUGUUGUGGUUAAUAACCGCAGCAAUUGACGUUACCCGCAGAAGAAGCACCGGCUAACUCCGUGCCAGCAGCCGCGGUAAUACGGAGGGUGCAAGCGUUAAUCGGAAUUACUGGGCGUAAAGCGCACGCAGGCGGUCUGUCAAGUCGGAUGUGAAAUCCCCGGGCUCAACCUGGGAACUGCAUUCGAAACUGGCAGGCUAGAGUCUUGUAGAGGGGGGUAGAAUUCCAGGUGUAGCGGUGAAAUGCGUAGAGAUCUGGAGGAAUACCGGUGGCGAAGGCGGCCCCCUGGACAAAGACUGACGCUCAGGUGCGAAAGCGUGGGGAGCAAACA